CGGCGAGUGAAGCGGCAACAGCUCAAAUUUGAAAGCUGGCCCUUUUAGGGUCCGCAUUGUAAUUUGUAGAGGAUGAUUCGGCGAGGGCUCCUGCCUAAGUCCCCUGGAACGGGGCGUCAUAGAGGGUGAGAAUCCCGUAUGCGGUAGGUUGCCUUAGCCAUGUGAAUCUCCUUCGACGAGUCGAGUUGUUUGGGAAUGCAGCUCUAAAUGGGAGGUAAAUUUCUUCUAAAGCUAAAUACCGGCCAGAGACCGAUAGCGCACAAGUAGAGUGAUCGAAAGAUGAAAAGCACUUUGGAAAGAGAGUUAAAAAGUACGUGAAAUUGUUGAAAGGGAAGCGCUUGCAACCAGACUUGUCCGCAGUUGCUCAGCCGGUCUCCUGACCGGCGUACUCUUCUGCGGCCAGGCCAGCAUCAGUUCGGGCGGUCGGAUAAAGGCCUCGGGAAUGUAGCUCCUCUCGGGGAGUGUUAUAGCCCGGGGUGGAAUGCGGCCAGCCUGGACUGAGGAACUCGCUUCGGCAAGGAUGCUGGCGUAAUGGUUGUAAGCGGCCCGUCUUGAAACACGGACCAAGGAGUCUAACAUCUAUGCGAGUGUUCGGGUGUCAAACCCGUACGCGUAAUGAAAGUGAACGGAGGUGGGAACCCGCAAGGGUGCACCAUCGGCCGAUCCUGAUGUCUUCGGAUGGAUUUGAGCAAGAGCAUAGCUGUUGGGACCCGAAAGAUGGUGAACUAUGCCUGAAUAGGGUGAAGCCAGAGGAAACUCUGGUGGAGGCUCGCAGCGGUUCUGACGUGCAAAUCGAUCGUCAAAUUUGGGUAUAGGGGCGAAAGACUAAUCGAACCAUC
RNAcentral lists this ribosomal RNA (839 nucleotides) under Lasiodiplodia sp. 1 JZG-2016. Its description in RNAcentral is "eukaryotic LSU rRNA". It matches the Rfam family "Eukaryotic large subunit ribosomal RNA", at positions 87 to 944 of the family's 3401-position model. Lineage: Eukaryota; Fungi; Ascomycota; Dothideomycetes; Botryosphaeriales; Botryosphaeriaceae. The record is from RNAcentral.